AAGUCGUAACAAGGUUUCCGUAGGUGAACCUGCGGAAGGAUCAUUAACACGUAUCCAACGUUAAACCCCCCGUGAACCUUCAUUGUGCUCCCCCAUUCCGUUAGGACGCGGCAAUCCCUGGUAAAUCAUCGCCGAACAGUUUUGAUUCAGGGACCUCUGCAUGGAGUGGGCAGCAGCGCGAGGCAAGUGGCCUGGCAUUCGAAAGAAUGGCGCAGUAACGAUCGCUAGAGGCCGACACGGCCGGCGACCGGGUCACUGGGCUCACGCCCCCCUAUCACCUUUGCAUGAAAACGGGCCUGCGCUUAAUUGUGCGGCCACCAAACUCGAACAACUGUUAACAAUGGAUAUCUUGGUUAUC
Molecule: unclassified non-coding RNA, 358 nt
Filed under: fungal sp.
Lineage: Eukaryota; Fungi
Description: partial internal transcribed spacer region
Rfam family: Eukaryotic small subunit ribosomal RNA (bases 1-46)
Source: RNAcentral